Non-coding RNA from Vicugna pacos (alpaca), 620 nucleotides. Lineage: Eukaryota; Metazoa; Chordata; Mammalia; Artiodactyla; Camelidae. The record is from RefSeq and is a predicted model, not a curated record.
AUUGGAGUCAUUUUCCACAGAUUGCCCUGAGAUUCAACAGGUGCCUUUAACACCCCAGCUGUGACAGGCUCAGACGUCUCCAGUCGUUGCCAAAUGUCCUUUCACAGCAAGGUGACAAAAUUGCUUCUGGCUGAGAACUGCUACUACAGAUGAAGCAUGAAAGUGUCAACGAGAGAGCCAAAGGUCACGGCACUUUCAGAUCUCUUAGAAAACCACUAACACUCAUUUAGACCUCAAAUUAGGGGUCAGCGAUUCAGCUGAGAGCGGACAGCAUCUGAGAGCUCAUUGAAUGGAACGUGGCAAUAAUCCUUAGGCAGCUACUUCCUAAUCAUUGCCGGCAGAGGCUUUAAAGACAGCUCGGAGAGUUCAUUAUGCAAAUGGAAUUGUCUGGAUCUGCUGACGGUGACUGAACUGAACAGACUCUAGGCACAGAUAUCCGCCUGGCGUCCUCUUCCGAGCGCAGGAAGACACCAAGACAGACAUUCUCUGAUCUGCAUGUACUUAUACAGCAAUUAAUGAAGAGCAAGCAAGUUCAUCUUGAAGAUGAGGUACAGAUAACUUAAAAACUGGACAGAAUCAACAAGCUGUGACCCUUUCUUUUUUUUAUCAUAUCUAGUCUU